AUAACAAUUCUAAUUAAUCACGUGGCUAAAUCUUCUUUAAAUUAUAAUCCUUCUUGGCACUGUACAUUUAAUCACAGGAUAUAAAACUUUCUAGUCCCAUUUUUCAGGUAGUUAUUAGAGGGAAAGCUUUAAACUGACAUACUCAAAACCAUUCCUAAGCAUUCACUCUUUUAUAUAUUUUGCAGGUGUUCAAGGCUCCAGAAUCUCUCUCCUUGUUGAACUGGAAUUCCCACUGAAACUUCUACAGAAGAUUGAAAGGGGUCAGGAAAAAAAACAAUGUUCGCAACAAGGCAAGGGAUGCUGUAAUUUCUGUUUGCCACCGGGCACCAUGAAAACAAUGAAUCUGAGUUGUCAUGGUCUUGUGAGACAUGGUGCCCAAUCCAGCUGUGAUUAUCACUUCAGUUGUGACUCUAUGAAAUGAAAAAAUGUUCAGAAUGUGAAGACCAGGUACUCCUGAGUACUUCCCAAUGGAAAAAAUCAUAUCCUGGAUGAGGAGGUAUGCAUUUUCUUUCAACCUACUCUAGCAAAAGCUGUUUAUAAUAGUGAAAGACUUCUAACAUGAUUGUCUUUAAUGUUGCAGAGUUAAAGAGCCAGAUUUAACUGUUAUUGGAUAUCUUUCAACUCCAUCUCCUCUAGUCACUCUGGAUUUAUGUCAGUUUAACUGAAAAUAAUUUUCCUCUCAAAGUCUAUAUCAAGCAAUUGAUGCCACUGUCUCCUAUUCUCCAUUGUUAAAUAAAAGUGCUGUGAUGCAACUAAUUCUUGUUUGU
Molecule: long non-coding RNA, 767 nt
Filed under: Numida meleagris (helmeted guineafowl)
Lineage: Eukaryota; Metazoa; Chordata; Aves; Galliformes; Numididae
Description: lncRNA (ENSNMEG00000019980.1)
Source: RNAcentral